ACAGCAUGCGGUUUUCCCAGGUGGUCACCCUCCCAAGUACUGACCAGUCCCGAUGCUGCUUGUCUGCGGUGAUCAGACGAGAACCGGAGCUUUCAGCAUGGUAUGGCCGU
Non-coding RNA from Araneus ventricosus, 110 nucleotides. The record is from the annotation of a GenBank genome assembly. Lineage: Eukaryota; Metazoa; Arthropoda; Arachnida; Araneae; Araneidae.